This 1857-nucleotide ribosomal RNA is filed under the name Listeria monocytogenes. Its description in RNAcentral is "partial 23S ribosomal RNA". It matches the Rfam family "Bacterial large subunit ribosomal RNA", at positions 1071 to 2925 of the family's 2925-position model. Lineage: Bacteria; Bacillati; Bacillota; Bacilli; Caryophanales; Listeriaceae. The record is from RNAcentral.
GGAUGUGGGGUUGCUUAGACAACCAGGAUGUUGGCUUAGAAGCAGCCACCAUUGAAAGAGUGCGUAAUAGCUCACUGGUCGAGUGACCCCGCGCCGAAAAUGUACCGGGGCUAAACAUAUUACCGAAACUGUGGAUGAACCUCUUUAGAGGUUCGUGGUAGGAGAGCGUUCUAAGGGCGGUGAAGUCAGACCGGAAGGACUGGUGGAGCGCUUAGAAGUGAGAAUGCCGGUAUGAGUAGCGAAAGAAGGGUGAGAAUCCCUUCCACCGAAUAUCUAAGGUUUCCUGAGGAAGGCUCGUCCGCUCAGGGUUAGUCGGGACCUAAGCCGAGGCCGAUAGGCGUAGGCGAUGGACAACAGGUAGAGAUUCCUGUACCAGUGCUAAUUGUUUAACCGAUGGGGUGACACAGAAGGAUAGGGAAUCGCACGAAUGGAAAUGUGCGUCCAAGCAGUGAGUGUGAGAAGUAGGCAAAUCCGCUUCUCGCGAAGCAUGAGCUGUGAUGGGGAAGGAAAUUAAGUACGGAAGUUCCUGAUUUCACGCUGUCAAGAAAAGCCUCUAGGAAGAGUAGUACUGCCCGUACCGCAAACCGACACAGGUAGAUGAGGAGAGAAUCCUAAGGUGAGCGAGAGAACUCUCGUUAAGGAACUCGGCAAAAUGACCCCGUAACUUCGGGAGAAGGGGUGCUCUAUUAGGGUGCAAGCCCGAGAGAGCCGCAGUGAAUAGGCCCAGGCGACUGUUUAGCAAAAACACAGGUCUCUGCAAAACCGUAAGGUGACGUAUAGGGGCUGACGCCUGCCCGGUGCUGGAAGGUUAAGAGGAGUGCUUAGCUUCGGCGAAGGUACGAAUUGAAGCCCCAGUAAACGGCGGCCGUAACUAUAACGGUCCUAAGGUAGCGAAAUUCCUUGUCGGGUAAGUUCCGACCCGCACGAAAGGCGCAACGAUCUGGGCACUGUCUCAACGAGAGACUCGGUGAAAUUAUAGUACCUGUGAAGAUGCAGGUUACCCGCGACAGGACGGAAAGACCCCGUGGAGCUUUACUGCAACCUGAUAUGGAAUGUUUGUACCGCUUGUACAGGAUAGGUAGGAGCCGAAGAGACGUGUGCGCUAGCAUACGAGGAGGCAAUGGUGGGAUACUACCCUGGCUGUAUGACCAUUCUAACCCGCCACGCUUAGCGCGUGGGGAGACAGUGUCAGGUGGGCAGUUUGACUGGGGCGGUCGCCUCCUAAAGAGUAACGGAGGCGCCCAAAGGUUCCCUCAGAAUGGAUGGAAAUCAUUCGCAGAGUGUAAAGGCACAAGGGAGCUUGACUGCGAGACUGACAAGUCGAGCAGGGACGAAAGUCGGGCUUAGUGAUCCGGUGGUUCCGCAUGGAAGGGCCAUCGCUCAACGGAUAAAAGCUACCCCGGGGAUAACAGGCUUAUCUCCCCCAAGAGUCCACAUCGACGGGGAGGUUUGGCACCUCGAUGUCGGCUCGUCGCAUCCUGGGGCUGUAGUCGGUCCCAAGGGUUGGGCUGUUCGCCCAUUAAAGCGGCACGCGAGCUGGGUUCAGAACGUCGUGAGACAGUUCGGUCCCUAUCCGUCGCGGGCGCAGGAAAUUUGAGAGGAGCUGUCCUUAGUACGAGAGGACCGGGAUGGACACACCGCUGGUGUACCAGUUGUUCCGCCAGGAGCAUCGCUGGGUAGCUAUGUGUGGCAGGGAUAAACGCUGAAAGCAUCUAAGCGUGAAGCCCCCCUCAAGAUGAGAUUUCCCAUUUCUUCGGAAAGUAAGAUCCCUGAAAGAUGAUCAGGUAGAUAGGUUUGGAGUGGAAGUGUAGCGAUACAUGGAGCGGACAAAUACUAAUCGAUCGAGGACUUAACCAA